CCUACGGGGGGCAGCAGUGGGGAAUAUUGGACAAUGGGGGGAACCCUGAUCCAGCCAUGCCGCGUGUGUGAAGAAGGCCCUCGGGUUGUAAAGCACUUUCAGUGAGGAAGAACGCCUGGUGGUUAAUACCCAUCAGGAAAGACAUCACUCACAGAAGAAGCACCGGCUAACUCCGUGCCAGCAGCCGCGGUAAUACGGAGGGUGCGAGCGUUAAUCGGAAUUACUGGGCGUAAAGCGCGCGUAGGUGGCUUGAUAAGCCGGUUGUGAAAGCCCCGGGCUCAACCUGGGAACGGCAUCCGGAACUGUCAAGCUAGAGUGCAGGAGAGGAAGGUAGAAUUCCCGGUGUAGCGGUGAAAUGCGUAGAGAUCGGGAGGAAUACCAGUGGCGAAGGCGGCCUUCUGGACUGACACUGACACUGAGGUGCGAAAGCGUGGGUAGCAAACAGGAUUAGAUACCCUUGUAGGC
Molecule: ribosomal RNA, 465 nt
Filed under: Vreelandella stevensii
Lineage: Bacteria; Pseudomonadati; Pseudomonadota; Gammaproteobacteria; Oceanospirillales; Halomonadaceae
Description: partial 16S ribosomal RNA
Rfam family: Bacterial small subunit ribosomal RNA
Source: RNAcentral